RNAcentral lists this ribosomal RNA (450 nucleotides) under uncultured bacterium. Its description in RNAcentral is "partial 16S ribosomal RNA". It matches the Rfam family "Bacterial small subunit ribosomal RNA", at positions 354 to 796 of the family's 1533-position model. The record is from RNAcentral.
GUGGGGAAUUUUGGACAAUGGGCGCAAGCCUGAUCCAGCAAUGCCGCGUGCAGGAAGAAGGCCUUCGGGUUGUAAACUGCUUUUGUACGGAACGAAAAGACUCCUUCUAAUAAAGGGGGUCCAUGACGGUACCGUAAGAAUAAGCACCGGCUAACUACGUGCCAGCAGCCGCGGUAAUACGUAGGGUGCAAGCGUUAAUCGGAAUUACUGGGCGUAAAGCGUGCGCAGGCGGUUAUAUAAGACAGAUGUGAAAUCCCCGGGCUCAACCUGGGAACUGCAUUUGUGACUGUAUAGCUAGAGGACGGUAGAGGGGGAUGGAAUUCCGCGUGUAGCAGUGAAAUGCGUAGAUAUGCGGAGGAACACCGAUGGCGAAGGCAAUCCCCUGGACCUGUACUGACGCUCAUGCACGAAAGCGUGGGGAGCAAACAGGAUUAGAAACCCGGGUAGUCC